UACGAAGGGGGCUAGCGUUGUUCGGAAUUACUGGGCGUAAAGCGCGUGUAGGCGGGUCUUUAAGUCAGAUGUGAAAUCCCCGGGCUUAACCUGGGAACUGCGUUUGAAACUGGAAGGCUAGAGUGUGGCAGAGGGGGGUGGAAUUCCACGUGUAGCAGUGAAAUGCGUAGAUAUGUGGAGGAACACCGAUGGCGAAGGCAGCCCCCUGGGCUAACACUGACGCUCAUGCACGAAAGCGUGGGGAGCAAACAGG
Molecule: ribosomal RNA, 253 nt
Filed under: uncultured bacterium
Lineage: Bacteria
Description: partial 16S ribosomal RNA
Rfam family: Bacterial small subunit ribosomal RNA
Source: RNAcentral